Unclassified non-coding RNA from Nomascus leucogenys (northern white-cheeked gibbon), 92 nucleotides. It matches the Rfam family "Y RNA". Rfam says of the family: Y RNAs are components of the Ro ribonucleoprotein particle (Ro RNP), in association with Ro60 and La proteins. The record is from Ensembl. Lineage: Eukaryota; Metazoa; Chordata; Mammalia; Primates; Hylobatidae.
AGCUGGUCCGAUGGUGUUGAGUUACCAGAACUUAUUAACAUUAGUGUCACUAAAAUUGGUAUAUAGUCCCCCACUGCUAAAUUUGGCCUUAA